UACGUAGGGUGCAAGCGUUGUCCGGAAUUAUUGGGCGUAAAGAGCUCGUAGGCGGUCUGUCGCGUCUGCUGUGAAAUCUCAGGGCUUAACUCUGAGCUUGCAGUGGGUACGGGCAGACUAGAGUGCGGUAGGGGAGACUGGAAUUCCUGGUGUAGCGGUGAAAUGCGCAGAUAUCAGGAGGAACACCCGUGGCGAAGGCGGCUCUCUGGGACGGUACUGACGCUGAGACGCGAAAGCGUGGGGAGCGAACAGG
This 253-nucleotide ribosomal RNA is filed under the name uncultured bacterium. RNAcentral's name for it is "partial 16S ribosomal RNA". It matches the Rfam family "Bacterial small subunit ribosomal RNA", at positions 524 to 776 of the family's 1533-position model. The record is from RNAcentral.